CGGUAACCACCACGCCGCUGCUGUGGCUCCGGUGGUGCCACCGUCGGUCGAUCCUCCCCCCCUCUCUUCGUUUCUGUCUCUCUGUCUUCGCCGCUACAGCAGUGCGCCGCCACCAUCACGGUGGUCGGCCUGUCAUACAAAAAAAAAGGGGGGUGUGAGGGUUGCAAUAUUUCGAGAAAGAAAGGGUGUUUGCCGUCGGGUUACACGACGCCGGAGCGCCAGACGUGAGAGACGAGAGGGGAAGCACAGGGUGUGGUGCGACUGUGUUGUGUGAAGGGGAUGAGGUUCUAAUCUAUUUGUUUGUGUAUGUUAGAUUAGGGUUUGUGGAUAAAGAGGAUUUGGGAAGGAAAUGCAACGAACGGCUGAAGCCAAACAUGCCAGAGAAAGAUAGAUCUUCACAGAUCUUAAAGAAAAGAGAAGAAAGGAUGGGUUGGGGAUGUUACCGGUGUGAUUGUGACUGAUGGAGCCCUCACCGUCGCACGUCGCCGGAAAAACAGGCGGUAACCACCACGCCG
This 515-nucleotide long non-coding RNA is filed under the name Helianthus annuus (common sunflower). The record is from RNAcentral. Lineage: Eukaryota; Viridiplantae; Streptophyta; Magnoliopsida; Asterales; Asteraceae.